RNAcentral lists this long non-coding RNA (287 nucleotides) under Manihot esculenta (cassava). RNAcentral's name for it is "long non-coding RNA (MESC_LNC010272)". Lineage: Eukaryota; Viridiplantae; Streptophyta; Magnoliopsida; Malpighiales; Euphorbiaceae. The record is from RNAcentral.
CAAAAAGGCCCGUGAGUGGUUUAAGAACUAUGUGAGCCCGAGGUUGGACAGCCUAUCAUGGGAGGAGUUUGCAAAUGAAUUUGAAGGAUGGGCUUUUCCUGACAGUUCAAGAGAAUUGAAGAUGAUUGAAUUUGAACAGUUAAGGCAGACAGAGGAAAUGAGUGUAGAGGAGUACACCGACAGAUUCUUGGAGCUGUUGCCGUUUGCAGGGCAAACUCUUGACACAGACCAGAAGAAGUCAAGGAGGUAUAUCAUGAAACUUCACUCCAGGUAUUCCUCCUUGAUUC